UACACCUUCACAUACUUCUUUGCAUGGCCAUAUUGAAUACACUUUUAUGGAAUGUAAAGAAGUGUGUAAAGCUGGA
RNAcentral lists this microRNA precursor (76 nucleotides) under Globodera rostochiensis. RNAcentral describes it as "mir-1 microRNA precursor family". It matches the Rfam family "mir-1 microRNA precursor family". From Rfam's summary of the family: This family represents the microRNA (miRNA) mir-1 family. miRNAs are transcribed as ~70nt precursors (modelled here) and subsequently processed by the Dicer enzyme to give a ~22nt product. The record is from Rfam by way of RNAcentral. Lineage: Eukaryota; Metazoa; Nematoda; Chromadorea; Rhabditida; Heteroderidae.